Molecule: non-coding RNA, 403 nt
Filed under: Pongo abelii (Sumatran orangutan)
Lineage: Eukaryota; Metazoa; Chordata; Mammalia; Primates; Hominidae
Source: RNAcentral
GACCUGCAAAUAGACCAGUGCAGGCAUUGAACAUCUGGGGCAAGACUAGAGUCUCCCAGCAGAUUAGUCUGCAUAUCAAGAACAACUAGACCUUAUAAAAGUCACAACAGAGCAGAGGGACGUUCACCUGUAAAUGUACACUUUCUAGUGUUUUCUCAAAUUAGAGCAUCUGAGGGUACCUUGACAGAAAUCAAAUGCAUCGAGACCAAAAUGUAUGACCUGAAACUGGUCCUGAGGAAACAUCAGACGGACCACGUUGAGCAUCACACUGCAGAAUGUAGGCCUGCAUUCUUCCAAACUGUUGGGACGAUGAAAGUCAGGGAAAAACUGAGGAAUUGUUCCAAACUGGGGCAGACUGCAAAGAUGUGACAAUUAAAUGCAACAUGUAACUCGGGGUUUCUGC